CGUUUGUAUUAUAAAAAAGAUAUCCGUCAUCGCUGCAGUUAGUUCUGUGUGCGCAAACAACCUUCUCGGAGACAUUAAUAAUUACGUAAAUGGAAUUAUUGCGCGCCGCGCAAGCCACUAUCUUGAUAGCCUGGAAAAAUGAUCUGGAAUGAAACUGCUCCACAUGGGGUAAACGUCUCUGUUCGUGCUGUCUCUUCCAUUUGUUAAACCACUUUCAGGAAAUACGAUAAUAUCCGUGUACUGCAAUAUCAAUCAUCACUUCGCUUACACUAUUGUUGGCAUUUUCGUUGAAUAUUUCUUCAGGACUAUCGCCAAUUUUGAUCGGAUGAUAUUCAACGACUGCUGCCCUAUACGCGAUACCGUUUUCUUCUCCUGCAAAUGCUGAAAACUGGGCAUAGCUUAAAAAGCUCAACACUGAAUGCUUCGCUCGGAAUUAGUAUUGGAAAGGUAGAAAAAAGCUGUAAUCGUAAACGUACAUGGUGCACAUCAAGCAUUAGUUUGUGAAGCGAGAUUACAAAAAAAUCAUACCUCUACACAACAGAGCUCAGCAAUCAGAAUCUGGAGGACGAAAGAGACACGUUUGACCAACAUCACGAAAGAAGUAACAUUUGGAUAAAAAAUCUGAAAGAGAAAAAAGCGACGGAAUUGAAAAACGUGACGUAAAUUAUAAUAAGGUACGCGUCUUCAGUUUAACUGUCAUAAGACAUAAUUCGAAAGAGCUCGUUAGUUCCAAUAUUACAACGACGCCACUACCGCACUAGAAUUGUUAUCUGCUGUAAUUUAUUAUCGUUAUUACCAAUUGCAGGAUUUAUUGUGUUGGGGGUAAAUGUAUAAUUUGUAAAUUUUAUCACAACAUUUUUCAAUCAGUUUUGCUAAUGAUUUCUUCUAUGAAUUUUAUGUGAAAUUCUGCUUGUCAGCGAUCAGUUUGAAGUCUAUUAUCAGUACAAGUAGUUGCAGACUCAAGUGUUGGGGAUUUUGGUGACGUGAAUAACUUGGAAUCGUGAUCGAUCUUUAUUGGGAUGAUGUGAGGAUUAUACGCUUGACCGCUUUAUCGCCUGUUCGAAUGAAUUAUAAUGGUCUUAUAUAGCGGAAUGCGUGACUUUGAUCACUCUAUUUAUAUGUAUAUCCAGGUACACCUUUUUAAACACGAACAAACCUGCUUACAAACAUAAAUUAUGCAUUGGCACCUGCAGCCAACGCUGUUUUUGGACCGUACAGUCGUUAAUUUUACAUUUCGCAUAAAAUAAUCCUUGUUUUGAACAUGUACUUUUAUAAUUUUUUGUUCUAAUAAAUUAUGCGUCUAUGGAUUUCGAACCAGU
Athalia rosae (coleseed sawfly) is the source of this 1319-nucleotide long non-coding RNA. RefSeq lists it as uncharacterized. The transcript has 4 exons. Lineage: Eukaryota; Metazoa; Arthropoda; Insecta; Hymenoptera; Athaliidae. The record is from RefSeq and is a predicted model, not a curated record.